RNAcentral lists this ribosomal RNA (680 nucleotides) under uncultured Nocardioides sp. Its description in RNAcentral is "bacterial SSU rRNA". It matches the Rfam family "Bacterial small subunit ribosomal RNA", at positions 8 to 705 of the family's 1533-position model. Lineage: Bacteria; Bacillati; Actinomycetota; Actinomycetes; Propionibacteriales; Nocardioidaceae. The record is from RNAcentral.
AGAGUUUGAUCCUGGCUCAGGACGAACGCUGGCGGCGUGCUUAACACAUGCAAGUCGAGCGGAAAGGCCCUUCGGGGUACUCGAGCGGCGAACGGGUGAGUAACACGUGAGUAAUCUGCCCCAGGCUCUGGGAUAGCCACCGGAAACGGUGAUUAAUACCGGAUACGACAACUUCCUGCAUGGGAUGGUUGUGGAAAGUUUUUCGGCCUGGGAUGUGCUCGCGGCCUAUCAGCUUGUUGGUGAGGUAAUGGCUCACCAAGGCUUCGACGGGUAGCCGGCCUGAGAGGGUGACCGGCCACACUGGGACUGAGACACGGCCCAGACUCCUACGGGAGGCAGCAGUGGGGAAUAUUGGACAAUGGGCGGAAGCCUGAUCCAGCAACGCCGCGUGAGGGAUGACGGCCUUCGGGUUGUAAACCUCUUUCAGCACAGACGAAGCGCAAGUGACGGUAUGUGCAGAAGAAGAACCGGCCACCUACGUGCCAGCAGCCGCGGUAAUACGUAGGGUCCGAGCGUUGUCCGAAAUUAUUGGGCGUAAGGGGCUCGUAGGCGGUCUGUCGCGUCGGGAGGGAAAACCAGGUGCUUAACACCUGGCCCUGCUUUCGAUACGGGCAGACUAGAGGUACUCAGGGGAGAUGGAAUUCCUGGUGUAGCGGUGAAAUGCGCAGAUAUCAGGAGGA